RNAcentral lists this long non-coding RNA (291 nucleotides) under Dromaius novaehollandiae (emu). RNAcentral's name for it is "lncRNA (ENSDNVG00000013921.1)". The record is from RNAcentral. Lineage: Eukaryota; Metazoa; Chordata; Aves; Casuariiformes; Dromaiidae.
GUCUAUUCUCCUCUUCACGUUUGUGACUGCAGCUUCAACUGAAACAACUUUGUCAGUUACUGCAACCACAAGUCAAACAACUCCUUCGGCCAACGAUGCCAGCUUCACGACCACUGCACCGUCGAAAAGGUAACAGACAAGCAGAAGACAUCUAUGAAAAACCAGAGGACACAGCACAGGUAAGGAAGACAACAGAUUUCCCAUAUGGUACCUGAAUCCCCUACCAAUAGUCUGGGAGGAGCUAGCUGGCCCAUGUGGUAAGAAACUUCAUGUUCUUUUUUGGUUUUGAGC